Long non-coding RNA from Talpa occidentalis (Iberian mole), 4724 nucleotides. RefSeq lists it as uncharacterized. NCBI's taxonomy places the organism in Eukaryota, Metazoa, Chordata, Mammalia, Eulipotyphla, Talpidae. The transcript has 12 exons. The record is from RefSeq and is a predicted model, not a curated record.
ACGUACUUCCGGUCGCCCUCCCUGAGCGGUUCUGAUGGAGGCCACGGGCUCAUAUGAUGUGAGGGUGACUCAGAAUAUUCUCAAGGAACAGCCUCUUUCUGCCUCUUUGCAGAGAAGGGGUGAAAUAGGAGCUUGUUUCACCUGCAGAGAAUGGCUUGCAGAUGAGGUGAACUGCAAGCCAGCAUGUGAGGGUGUGGCUAGCCCCGCACAGCUGAGAUGCACACAGGAGGAAGCCUCUGAUGCUUUGUGAAGACAAAAGCUUCCUGCUUAGGCCCAGCUGCCCAUCAUGGUUGCCAGGCUGGCAGAUCUCCAUGGUGACCAUAGAAACACAUCUGUUCCCUCACAGCACCCAGGGCGGGGCCUGCUCCAAAGCCACAAUGCCUGGACCUAGAGCCUUCUCAGGGUGAACACACGCCCACCUGACCUUCACAUUCCCCACCCCCCAGGGACCUCCCCUGGUGGGGUCCCCCCUGCCAGAGUGGGGACAAGAAGACCAGGAAGUGUCUGGUUUUCCUUGGAGGUGGACAGCUUGGAAGAUGGGACAGAGAUGGGGCUGGAUGCAGCAUGGACCCUCUGGAACCCCCAUGCCAUCAAAUGUGCCACAGCCCUAGGGCUCCUGAGAGUCUGCACAUGCCCGUCCCUGGAUACGUCACAUGCCUAUCUGUAGGGUUUUCUGACUUUUCCUGGACUGCUCAGACAUCACAGCACUCAGUGCCCAGGGCACCACUCUGUGAGCCCCAAGGCUGGCUGGCUGGAUGCCCACCUCUGUCCAGUCCUCUCCCUCCACGAACGAAGUUGAACGUGACGGAAUAAAGAAAAACUUCAGCAGACCAAAAGCCAGAUGCACAAAUCAAGCAGGAACACCGAGACCCUUGAAGAGGACAUGAACUGGCCCAGACAUCAAGAUUGAGGGAAGAACAGCUCCUACCUCCUGGCUGCUUGUAAGGACUGACUGACACCAUCCACGGAGAGAGCAGGUCACGGCACAUCGAAGUCCCAGAGAAGAGUCAGCUGUGGUCACACUGACACAACGGUGUUUUUCUGCUGUUACAGCAACUGCAUUCCCAUUUCACAGACUGGAACAGAGCCUUUGGGCUGGAGGAAUAAGGAGGCAACCCACAAGAGACCUGACUGCAAGCUAGGAGCACUAGAGUGGCAGAUGCCGGGUCCGGGCACCAUGCUGGUGCCAAGAACAUGAAGGCCAGCGGAGCCUGGUCCAUGUCCUUCAGGUGCUCAUGAUGCAGAGAGCAAGGCAGAUGGUGAAAAAGAGCCGAAGCCCCAGUGCUGGACGCUCCUGGUCCAGGCUCUGUGGAGAGCAUUCAUACGUCUGAUGCCCACACCUACCCCAGAAACAGGAACCACCACACUGAUCCAACUGGAGUGUUAGAAGCAUAUGGGGAGCCAAGAACACAGAGUGUUGAAGACAAAGAAGGAGGUGGAAUUUUAUUUUAGAUAGAACACCCCCUCACCUCGAGGCUAUUAGAGGGUGCCUGGCAGAGCUCAGAAAAUUCUGGGCAUUAAGACCAGGACUUUGCCUGAAGAGUAUCUUCAUAGGCUCAAAGAAGGGGAAUGUGAGUAGCUCACUCCUGUCACUGCUGCCUUGAAUCCUUCACAUGGCUGUCACCCAGGCUGCUGAGCCACUCGCCUGCAGGAGGACAUUGGGUCAUUUCCAUGUUUUCGCAAUUAUGGAGAUUUAUUAGCAGCUAUAAACAUAUACCCAACAGGUUUUGGUGUGAACACAAGUCCUCGGAGCCACCUUGGCUCGGCUGACGUGGAUUGGGCUCUGCCAGGUUUAGUGCAGACUGGAGCUUGGAUGCAGAUCUGGUCCGUGAGGGUGUCUCCUGGGUCUGAUGAGGGGGCAUUGGCUGCCUGGGCACUGUCUUCUCAUGACUAAUCCAUGGAGCAAGGUCAAGACAAGCUACAGGACACAUAAAACUAUUUUGCUCAUCGUGUCCACUGAUAUUCAACUGGCCAACGCAAGUCGCAUGGCCAAACCCACAAGGGGGGAGGGAAACACUCACCCUUCAUCAUGUGAGGGCAGAGAAUGACUAUUUGAACAAUAAUACAAUCAUUGGAUGACCCAAUGGAUGCUCGUAAAUGAAUGAAUGAAUGACCGAAUCUGAAAUACCCUUCUGAGGGGACAAGAAAUGACAGUGGCGGAGAACGCCCACCCACCCACAGCCAUCUGCCGGCAGCUUGAGGCUCAGUGACAACAAGAACAACAAAACAAUUGACCUGGGGGCUUCUAGCCUUUCGGGGAUGGGAGGUGGGAGAUCAUCAUCCCCACCGCCACCAGCAGGUGGAUCCAUACACAUUUUAACUUCCAUUUCAGCUUAAAUCGCAGCUGCUGCUGUUGCCAGGGGAUGCCUAUCUUUCCACAUGUUAUUGUAGAUCAGUUGCCUGCCGUUGCAAUAAAGAACUCUCAAUGGGUUGUCUGGAAAUUCUAAAUCAGGCUGCAGAGAGGCUGGUGGAUAAACCAGGCAGGCUCCCCAUCAAGGGUGAUUGAUGCCAGAUUCAAGCAGGCAAUCAUGGGGUGCUGGCUUCUAGCAACCAGCCCCUACCACAUAUAUCAGCUCAGGGAGGACAUUAGCUUCCCCGCGGGUGAGGGCAGUGGGAGGUGCUGCUGGGCAACAGGAAGGAUGGAAGGUGGCUGUAGAGGACUCCCUGGAUCAUUUGGCGUCCAUGGAAAAGCCCUUGCCAGCUUGCUUUCUGUCUUUUUGGAUCCCAGCUGUGUCCUUCCCCUGAAACAAUGGAGGGAACAGAGAGAUGGUCAGGUACCAAGUGGAGCAUCAUCAAAUUGGAGUAGCCAGAACCCUGGGAAGACUUUCUAAGGGUUCAUAGGCACAAGUUAUAAGAGAAGCAAUUUUGAGAGCUUUAACUGAUAUAAGUUCUAUUUGCCACAUCCUCCCUCACCAAUGUCCUUCUUCCACUGCAUAAAAAAUAAGUUUAUCAGACUUAUGCCGACCUAAAACAGAAAGUGCACUCAAGAUGGGUGAUUCAAAGAGAAUUUAAUAGAGGAAAUGUUCAUAAAUUUGUACGUGGGAUAAAGAAAACCACAAAGGAUAAUGCAGGAGGGAAAGGGAAAGGAGAGAGAGAGAUUUCCAGAACCGGGAGACAUGGGCAACCGUGAGGAAUGUGGGUUCCUGGAGAAGAUGCAGCCACCCUGGGCCACUGGCAGGUGGGGGCAUCUCCCCGCUGCCUGCUCCCUAUUGGCCUUACCCAACUGGAAACCAAGAGGGAGCCUAUUGACUGGUCAGCGGCUGGCAGGAGGAGGGCAGAGAGUAGGAGUCUGUCUACUCAGGAGACAUCACCUGUCUGGAAUCUUACAAAGGAGGCUGAGUUCAUAACCCCAAAGGCACAAUCACAGAUUUCAGACUUUCAGGAUUUAGUCUUUCGAGAUUCCGCUGUUAGGGGUCGGGUCUUGCAGGAUUAUGAGGGGUGCUGAAACCUGAGUACUGUGUUCAAAUUCUAGAACUAGCUCAAGGAGAGAGUGCUUUCUUUUCCUCCAUUGCUCCUUUCCUGCUUCCUGCUGGCUGGAAUGCGGACUCCGGUGUCUGCUCUGGCACAGGCCCGUGCAGACGCCAGGGGCCGUGAGUGAGCUGUGAGUGUGCAGAGACACAAGACAGAGGGGACAGGACCCUUGAUGUCUCCGGAGCUACUGUGUUAGCCCUGGACUGUCCACAGUGACAUGAGACAGAAAUGCAUUUUUAUCUGUCUAAGACACUGCCCAUUUAAGGAGAAUUUCCGAGAAGAAUGAAAUCGCAAAUCUCGUCACAGUGGGUGCCCCUGAGCUGGAAAGCUGGGGGGUGUUCAGAAGGUAAUAACAGGCAGUUCCCAUGAACACAGCAACUCUGAUGAGAACCAUUGUAUAAAACUCAGGUAAUGCCAACGUUCUGAGAAGGGCGGACACUCAGUGGACCGGCUGGGACAGUCUGGCCAUGGGAGGUGGACCCUGAGACUAGAGGAUGAAGGAGAGGGGAGCAAAGAGAACAUGCCUCCCUUUCAAGGCUUGGAAAGGGGAGUCCACAUUCCUGCCCAGCGAGAAGGGGAGACCAGACGACAGGAGUGACAGUCCCCGAUCAACGCCGAUGAGAAUGUCCAGGCAAUUAAGGUGACUUGGCAUGGUCAGCACGUGGUCAGCCUGCAAUGAAAUCCCGAAGGAAUGUCUGCAUGACUAACACCCAGGGACAAAGGAGGAGCAGUGCAGUGUCUCAGACGAGGGCCUGAAAACACCGUCCCUGAUCACAGACUUGUGAUAUGGGGCUGUGGGCAUGGUGCCGCUUGAAAGGUAUUGCGUGGCCACUGCUUGAUCUGACUUCGAAUGAGAGCAUUCCAGCCUCGCUACGCCAAUUAUUCUUUCUCAGCUGCUCUGGCAACUUUUUCCACAUACUUCAAUCCGGUUCCUCUCUCCUUCAAGCCUGAGGUUAAUCUCCAUCCCUCUGGGACAUCCAUUGUGAUCACCUCCGUCCCCAGCAAUCUUUCCUCCUCUGACAGCAGGUAAUUACCUUGCCUUGAAUGCCGGAUGCUGCCCUGUGACAGCUGUCCUGUGACAUCCUGUAUGGAUUUUAGCUUUUUCCAUUCCUUGUUUUGCAGCCUGCAGUGGGCAAACCGGGGUCCAACCCCAGUUCAAUUCUACAGACUCAUGUUCUAGCAUCUCCCCCAGUUUGAAGAAUUCUGUUUCUAUUCCCACAUUUUUAAGCUCUCAUCUAUAUUUUUUAUUAUAG